RNAcentral lists this ribosomal RNA (216 nucleotides) under Glomeromycotina sp. RNAcentral describes it as "partial small subunit ribosomal RNA". The stretch from base 40 to 216 matches the Rfam family "Eukaryotic small subunit ribosomal RNA", at positions 686 to 864 of the family's 1831-position model. The record is from RNAcentral. Lineage: Eukaryota; Fungi; Glomeromycota.
GGGUCAGUAGGUUGGUCGUGCCACCGGUACGUACUGGUCUCACUGAUUCGUCCUUCCUGAACAACCGUAAUGCCAUUAAUUUGGUGUUGCGGGGAAACAGGACUGUUACUUUGAAAAAAUUAGAGUGUUUAAAGCAAGCUAACGCUUGAAUACAUUAGCAUGGAAUAAUGAAAUAGGACGAUCGAUCCUAUUUUGUUGGUUUCUAGGAUUGACGUA